RNAcentral lists this ribosomal RNA (464 nucleotides) under uncultured bacterium. RNAcentral's name for it is "partial 16S ribosomal RNA". It matches the Rfam family "Bacterial small subunit ribosomal RNA", at positions 30 to 507 of the family's 1533-position model. The record is from RNAcentral.
CGAACGCUGGCGGCGCGCCUAACACAUGCAAGUCGAACGAGCGGGAGAGAGCUUGCUUUCUCGAGCGAGUGGCGAACGGGUGAGUAACGCGUGAGGAACCUGCCUCAAAGAGGGGGACAACAGUUGGAAACGACUGCUAAUACCGCAUAAGCCCACGACCCGGCAUCGGGUAGAGGGAAAAGGAGCAAUCCGCUUUGAGAUGGCCUCGCGUCCGAUUAGCUAGUUGGUGAGGUAACGGCCCACCAAGGCGACGAUCGGUAGCCGGACUGAGAGGUUGAACGGCCACAUUGGGGCUGAGACACGGCCCAGACUCCUACGGGAGGCAGCAGUGGGGAAUAUUGCACAAUGGGGGAAACCCUGAUGCAGCGACGCCGCGUGGAGGAAGAAGGUCUUCGGAUUGUAAACUCCUGUUGUUGAGGAAGAUAAUGACGGUACUCAACAAGGAAGUGACGGCUAACUACGUG